UACGGAGGGUGCAAGCGUUAUCCGGAUUCACUGGGCUUAAAGGGCGCGUAGGCGGCUUUGUAAGUCAGUGGUGAAAUCUCGGAGCUUAACUCCGCAACUGCCAUUGAUACUGCUUAGCUUGAAUCAAGUAGAGGUGGAUGGAAUAUUACAUGUAGCGGUGAAAUGCUUAGAUAUGUAAUAGAACACCGAUUGCGAAGGCAGUUCACUAUGCUUGUAUUGACACUGAGGCACGAAAGCGUGGGGAUCAAACAGG
RNAcentral lists this ribosomal RNA (253 nucleotides) under uncultured bacterium. RNAcentral describes it as "partial 16S ribosomal RNA". It matches the Rfam family "Bacterial small subunit ribosomal RNA", at positions 524 to 776 of the family's 1533-position model. The record is from RNAcentral.